Molecule: long non-coding RNA, 1091 nt
Organism: Cyprinus carpio carpio
Lineage: Eukaryota; Metazoa; Chordata; Actinopteri; Cypriniformes; Cyprinidae
Source: Ensembl
CGCUAGCAUUCUGCUAAUGAACGUAUAACGUAUGACGUCAUUGACAUUUUAAAAGACUUUUUAAAGCAAAUAAGUGACUCUAAAAAAUCUAACACCCAGCAAUGUGUAAUUUCUUUGCAUCUCCUUUCGAAUACAACAUUCAAAUUACUAGACAAAAAAUUAUAUCCUGAGAAAAGUGGAUUUUGAGGGGUAUACCGCCAUUGACCUCCAUUCAUUCUGCACUCGUCCUGUGAGCGCCCUCAUAUGGAAUCAGAGUGGAACUGCAACCAGUUCAGAAGCCGGAAGUGUAGUAAGAGUGAAACUUCUCGCCAUAUUAGACAUUCUCUGACCCUACCCUAUCCCAGAAUAAACUGCGCACAGGUGAUGACGGAAUUAAUAUUCAAACAACACGGCGGGUGAGACAUCAGUGGCGUCGACAGAGGAAUUCACAUUUAAAUGUAAGAAUUAAUAUCCAGCAAGCCAAGUGUUAAAAGGGGGCAGCGAGCAGACAGCUCUGUUCAUCACAUUAAGGGGUCAGAACGACCAUUUAUUCACAGGGGCCAAAAACUCGGCCAGCGUGGCUUGGAGGACAAUUCUGGAGAAAAUGGGCCUGCUGAGGAAGGAUUGCAAGUCUCCUGGGAUGGGUGAGGGGGUGAGUGGAAAACCCACUGCUGAAACUUGGCCCUUAUUUGUCCUCAUGGAUGAGGUGUUAGGACACAGGCCCUCAAACAACCCCCCUGUCCUAAUUGCUCCAUUCCUGAGGAAACGGCAGGGCCAAGUUCAGCAGUGGGUGACGAAGCUGAGGAGGAGCCAGCACCAGGCAAGAAAAAACGGGGCCAUGAGUAUGAGCUGGUGGAGCUACUCCGAGAAGACACCAAGUUCCAGACGGAGACGGAGGAAAGAAGAGCCCAAGAGAACAGAGAGAGAAUGGACCGACUGUUUGGUCUUCUUAAGAGGAUGGCUAACAAAUAAAUUAACCAUUUUCUCAAGAAAAGAAAACCUAUUUUAAGUCAGUUUGCCAAUGAAAUAGUCUAAUUUCUGUUCAGUUUAUUUUUGUUAGUUAAAAAUGAAGAGUUAUAUGCAUUUAUUUUUGUAAUGUAAUUAAUUUAUUU